UUGUUACACGCCGCAAUAUUGUUUCCACUUAAUUGGACAGCCUUACUUCGUUCCUAUUCACAGGGAACCCCCAUUUUAUCACUAUUAUAAAUAUCCACUAACCUUAAAACAUCAUCCUUCUUUAGUAAUUUAAGGUAAGUAAUUGUACCAAUUUAUACAAAGAUAUUUGCCCAAGAUAUCCAUCACAUUGCACAUUUGCCCAAGAUAUCCACCAAGAAAUGCACAUGGUGUAGGUUUGCCAGCGACACAUUUUCAUCUAUUCAUUACAAUGCCCGAUGUCUCUUUACAACAACCAGGACGAGUAGAAAAGAACGCAUUGUGUUCCACAUCAUUUCACUAAAAUGACGAAUUUUAAAACAAAUUUAGCUUCAAAAUACCCUAAAUACUUUAUGCACUCAUCUCUCUAUUAAUUUGAACUAAACUUCACGAAACAUUAUUAAUUUAAGGUAUAAUUCAAUAUUUUAUCCCAGAA
Non-coding RNA from Paramuricea clavata, 472 nucleotides. The record is from the annotation of a GenBank genome assembly. Lineage: Eukaryota; Metazoa; Cnidaria; Anthozoa; Malacalcyonacea; Plexauridae.